AAGCCUUUAACUUAAUGGUAGAGUGCUAACUUGAUAAGUUAGUUGUACUAGUUCAAUUCUAGUAAGGCUUA
Transfer RNA from Sugiyamaella lignohabitans, 71 nucleotides. It matches the Rfam family "tRNA". Rfam says of the family: Transfer RNA (tRNA) molecules are approximately 80 nucleotides in length. Their secondary structure includes four short double-helical elements and three loops (D, anti-codon, and T loops). Further hydrogen bonds mediate the characteristic L-shaped molecular structure. tRNAs have two regions of fundamental functional importance: the anti-codon, which is responsible for specific mRNA codon recognition, and the 3' end, to which the tRNAs corresponding amino acid is attached (by aminoacyl-tRNA synthetases). tRNAs cope with the degeneracy of the genetic code in two manners: having more than one tRNA (with a specific anti-codon) for a particular amino acid; and 'wobble' base-pairing, i.e. permitting non-standard base-pairing at the 3rd anti-codon position. NCBI's taxonomy places the organism in Eukaryota, Fungi, Ascomycota, Dipodascomycetes, Dipodascales, Trichomonascaceae. The record is from Rfam.